Molecule: ribosomal RNA, 595 nt
Filed under: uncultured Bacteroidota bacterium
Lineage: Bacteria; Pseudomonadati; Bacteroidota
Description: bacterial SSU rRNA
Rfam family: Bacterial small subunit ribosomal RNA
Source: RNAcentral
CAACCUGCCUAUAACUAGGGAAUAACCUUGCGAAAGUAAGACUAAUACCCUAUGAUUUCCUUUGAUGACAUCAGAUUAGGAAUAAAGAUUUAUCGGUUAUAGACGGGGAUGCGUCUGAUUAGCUUGUUGGCGGGGUAACGGCCCACCAAGGCAACGAUCAGUAGGGGUUCUGAGAGGAAGGUCCCCCACAUUGGAACUGAGACACGGUCCAAACUCCUACGGGAGGCAGCAGUGAGGAAUAUUGGUCAAUGGGCGGAAGCCUGAACCAGCCAAGUAGCGUGCAGGAUGACGGCCCUAUGGGUUGUAAACUGCUUUUAUACAGGAAUAAAGUUAGCCACGUGUGGUUAUUUGUAGGUACUGUAUGAAUAAGGACCGGCUAAUUCCGUGCCAGCAGCCGCGGUAAUACGGAAGGUCCAGGCGUUAUCCGGAUUUAUUGGGUUUAAAGGGAGCGUAGGCCGUCUGUUAAGCGUGUUGUGAAAUGUAGAUGCUCAACAUCUGAAUUGCAGCGCGAACUGGCAGACUUGAGUGUGCGCAACGUAGGCGGAAUUCGUGGUGUAGCGGUGAAAUGCUUAGAUAUCACGAAGAACUCCGAUUG